This 30-nucleotide non-coding RNA is filed under the name Mus musculus (house mouse). The record is from RNAcentral. Lineage: Eukaryota; Metazoa; Chordata; Mammalia; Rodentia; Muridae.
UCUAGGCUUAUUUAAAAAUGCACAGGGUAC